This 359-nucleotide long non-coding RNA is filed under the name Chinchilla lanigera (long-tailed chinchilla). Its description in RNAcentral is "lncRNA (ENSCLAG00000023698.1)". The record is from RNAcentral. Lineage: Eukaryota; Metazoa; Chordata; Mammalia; Rodentia; Chinchillidae.
GCAAGAAUUCAAAGAAGAAAAAGUAUCAUAAAAGGACUUGAUAUUUGGUGGCACAAAUCUCCUUUGCAUAGGCUACAGAUAUCAAGUGGACAAACAAAGGAAAAACUACACGGAAGAGGAGGAUCGUUUUCUGAUCUGUAGGCUUCUUUAGCUUGGCCAUUCCAAGGCAGGUGUGUGUGAGGAAUUGCCGCAGUGUAUUCACGGCUCUCCUCGUGGUGAGUGCUCAGGGCUUUCAUUUCGUGUUGCCCAGUUCAGAAUGAGGGCUGUUUGACUUUUCUGUCUUUGUGUUUUGAUGAUGGUGGCGAUUGAACUCAGGGCUUUGUAUGUGCUAGGCCAGCACUCUGCCCCUGAGCUACUUC